Molecule: ribosomal RNA, 433 nt
Filed under: uncultured bacterium
Lineage: Bacteria
Description: partial 16S ribosomal RNA
Rfam family: Bacterial small subunit ribosomal RNA
Source: RNAcentral
AACGAACGCUGGCGGCAUGCCUAACACAUGCAAGUCGAACGAGACCUUCGGGUCUAGUGGCGAACGGGUGCGUAACGCGUGGGAACCUGCCCUUAGGUUCGGAAUAACUCCCCGAAAGGGGUGCUAAUACCGGAUAAUGUCUUCGGACCAAUGAUUUAUCGCCUUUGGAUGGGCCCGCGUUGGAUUAGCUAGUUGGUAGGGUAAAAGCCCACCAAGGCGACGAUCCAUAGCUGGUCUGAGAGGAUGACCAGCCACACUGGGACUGAGACACGGCCCAGACUCCUACGGGUGGCAGCAGUGGGGAAUAUUGGACAAUGGGCGAAAGCCGGAGCCAGCAAUGCCGCGUGAGUCAUGAAGUCGUUAGGGUUGUAAAGCUCUGUUACCCGGGAUGAUAAUGACGGUACCGGGAGAAUAAGAUCCGGCUAACUCCGUG